UCUCCUUGUUGGCCUCGAACUUGCGAUCUCCUGCCCCAGCCUCCCGAGUCGCUGGGAUUACUGGCCGCGCGGGCGCCCCGCGCUCAGGGAGCCUCUUCGAAUUAGCCAAUGAGAAGCGCACCGUCCCCGGUCGCCUGGGAAACCGCGUGACAACAAGAUGGCGGCGCCGGGACGGCUCGCCGGCCCUGCGUGGGAGUUACUGACAGCUAGGAUCUAGACUAGAACUAUGAGCUCACCUCUGGCCUCCCUUAGCAAGACCCGGAAAGUGCCCCUGCAGUCGGAACCUGUGGAUCCUGGAAGGCGAGGGAUAAGAAUCUAUGGAGAUGAAGAUGAGGUGGAUAUGCCGAACGAUGGGCCUGGCUCUGAAGAACAGAUCUCUGUCCCUUCCUGCUACAGCAACAAAUUUGCUUCUGUGAGUGGGCCAGGUCCCCCAUACCAUGACUCAGAUCUGGCGAGGAAGAUGCAACAACUGGAGCAGCAGGUGAAAGCCCAGAGUGAUGAGCUGGUGUCCAAGGAUCAGAAGAUCCUGGCCCUGGAGGACCUGGUGCAGCGCCUGCAGCAGAACCAGGGUGAGGUAAGUGGGCAGCGGCAGGAGGAGCUGCAGACCAUGUGCACGCAGCUGCAGCGGCAGGUCGGGGAGAUGGAGCGGUUCCUCAACGACUACGGCCUGCAGUGGGUGGGUGAGCCUAUGGACCAGGAGGAUUCGGAGGACAAGACGGUCUCAGAGGAGGAAAAGAGGGACUGGAUGACCGCCAAGAAGUUCUGGAAGCCAGGGGAUUCACUAGUGCCCCCUGAGGUGGACUUUGAUAGGCUGCUGGCCAGCCUGCAGGAUCUCAGUGAGCUGGUGGUAGAGGGUGACACCCAGGUGACGCCAGUGCCUGGUGGGGCAUGGCUCCAUUCCCUUGAGCCCAUCCCGCUGAAGCUCUACAGGAAUGGCAUCAUGAUGUUUGAUGGGCCCUUCCGGCCCUUCUACGAUCCCUCCACACAGCGCUGUCUCCGGGACAUACUGGAUGGCUUCUUCCCUUCAGAACUCCAGCGACUCUACCCUGAUGGGGUUCCCUUUAAGGUAAGUGACCUGCGCAAUCAGGUCUACCCUGAGGAAGGGCUGGGCCCAUUCCCAGGUGAGGGCCGUGUGGUAGGCCGACCAAAGGUGCGCAAGGCUUCGGACAGAGUGGAGGAGUACCCAGGCUCCAGGAUGACUGCUGAGAAAUUUCUGAACAGGCUUCCCAAGGUUGUGAUCCGACAAGGCCAGGUGAUUGACAUCCGGGGUCCCAUCAGGGACACCUUGCAGGUGAGGCUGGCCCUAAUUCCACAACCCUCUUGGGGGCUCUUUACCACCAACCCUGGCCCAGCUUGCCAGAGCAGUGUCUUGCCUGGAGGCUCAGGCUUCUGGACCCUGGGGGACGGCCAGGAUGGUGGGUCCCUCAGCGCUGUGCAGUGGUCUCUGGAAACUACAGAGCUGCUGAAGGCUCUGCACUGGGUCCCAGAGAGCAGCCAGACUGGCUCUAAGGGGCUAAAUAAAGGCUGGGGGUGAGCCACGAUGCAGUCCUGGUAUCCCUUCCUGGUUGUCCCUGGCCCCCACAGAACUGGUUAUCUCUUCUCUUCAUCCCAUCCUGCUGCUCUCUCUCAACUUCUCAGAGCAUUGCUAAGUCCUGUCUGGUCUGGCCAUCCCUAGAACUCUCUCCAUCCCCACUGCCCACCACCCUAGGUUCUGGUGUGUCUCCCACACAAUGCAACCUCCUCUGGCCAGUCUCCUGCCUCCAUUCCCUGCCCCUGCCAGCCAUCCUUCCCUCAUAGCCUUCCCUAUUGCAGUCUUCCAAGGAUUCUCAGAGCCAAGUCCUUUAUCCUGGCACUCAAGGCCUGUCCUGCACCACUGGGCCCCUCCCAGCUUCUCUAACUUCCUCUUUCUUCCAGUCCAACCUGAUUCCCGGCUUCAGCUGUGAACUGCUGGCAAUGUCCCAAAUAUAUCACCUCCUCUAGGAGGCUUUCCCUGAUCUUAGGUGAUCGGUGUCCCUGCUGUUGGGAACAUCCCUGUCCUCAUUCCACUUAUAAGGACUCCUACUCAUUCUGCAGUCUCAGCUCAGGUGUCAUUUCCCUCAGGAAGCCUUCCCUGACCCCAAGGUGGGUUAGAAAUCUAGCCUGGUCAUCGUCUUUGUGGGCUUUUGCCUCCCAUUUGACUGAUGGGGAGGCUUCUUGAGGGAAAUGAUGGGCUGCCUCCCAGAGCCUUCUUUCCUUUCCCUCUCCUCUCUUGGGCCUCAGUUUACACGAACACCUUCACCCCUGCUCAAGGAUGAGUCAGUCCCUUCCAAGGGUUGGAUGACUCAGGCAAGGCCUAGGGCUCUCUCUGUCCCCUCUCCAUUGAUGCCUUCCAGAACUACUGCCCACUACCUGCCCGGAUCCAGGAGACCAUAGUGGAGACGCCUGCCUUGGUGGCUGAGCGGGAAAGGCUUAGACAAGAAAGGGUGGCCACAGAAAGCGAGGACCACACCCUCCAGGAGCCAGAUU
Marmota monax (woodchuck) is the source of this 2505-nucleotide RNA transcript. It is a transcript of the gene named UBX domain protein 11, with no coding region annotated. Lineage: Eukaryota; Metazoa; Chordata; Mammalia; Rodentia; Sciuridae. The transcript has 13 exons. The record is from RefSeq and is a predicted model, not a curated record.